CCUCUCACGCCAUUACAGAUUGCAGAAAUGAUGCAUACCAAUCACAAUUAUAAUGGCUUCUGCAAUCAUUUAUGCUCAAGAUUCAUAACGAAUAGUUGCAGAAAACAAAUAAGGGAAUCAGAGAUGGAGGAGUUUGCCAAAUCAUUGAAAAAGGUCUUCAAGCAAGGCAUCAUUAAACAGCCCAUGAGCUGGUAGUUACGACCCGGCCCGCCGGUUUGACAGUGUGUCUCGGGCCGGGUCCGGCUCAGCCAGUCACCCUAGACUCUCUUGGCCCGCCGAGUUCCAGGCCCAAUUAACAGGCCCGCGCCCCCGCAAAUAGCUACAUCAUCAUCGUCGUCAUCAUCGACAUCCAUCGAUUCUCCAACGCGCAUCCUCAAGCUCAUCGCCGCCCGGCGCGCCACCCUCUCCCACUCCAUCCUCAUCCAAGCCUCCUCCCGUUCCGGCCGCAUCUCCCUCGCCUACUCCCUCUUCAACCGCAUCUUCUCUCUCCAGACCUACCGAUCUCUCAUGCAAUCCCCUCUGCCGCAAGAAAAUGGGCUUGUGAAGGGGUUUUGCGAUGUGGAUAAGGUGGAAGAGGCACGUAUGUGAAUACAUGGAUGAUGGUUUUGGUGAGAGUUUGCUGCAGUGAUGAUGGAGAUGUGUUGAAGCUGAUGGUUUUUGAAGAUUGUUGAUGAAGAGGAAUGGAGAAGAAGGACAAAGCUUGUGCAUUUGGGGACUGGUUUGGAGUAUUUUUACUUAAUUGAAAGAAUUGAGUAGAAAGAUGCAAUUAUAUUAUUUGAAAUUCCUGCUGGAUGAUAUUGUGGAUUCUGAUGAUCUGCCUCAAUGAACAAGCGUCAACAAUCACAAUUAAGGAGCUGAUGGGGGUCCUCUUUCACCAUCUCCAGCAUCACCUGAAGAAAAUCUUUCGUCUUCUUUUGAUCACCACUUGCUUCCAGAGUUCCCUUCCUCUGCUCGAUGAUCAUGUUCAGAAGUCUGUCAAGCCUUUC
Long non-coding RNA from Dioscorea cayenensis subsp. rotundata (Guinea yam), 986 nucleotides. RefSeq lists it as uncharacterized. The record is from RefSeq and is a predicted model, not a curated record. Lineage: Eukaryota; Viridiplantae; Streptophyta; Magnoliopsida; Dioscoreales; Dioscoreaceae. The transcript has 3 exons.